Molecule: long non-coding RNA, 2194 nt
Organism: Anguilla rostrata (American eel)
Lineage: Eukaryota; Metazoa; Chordata; Actinopteri; Anguilliformes; Anguillidae
Exons: 2
Source: RefSeq, a predicted model, not a curated record
AAAGACUCGAAUGUAAUUAAAGACAUGUUAAGAUCAAGUUUUCCAAUUAGUUUUUAAAUUAAUUAUGAGUAGAAGAAGAGCGGGGGAGAGAGGAACCACGGCCUCAUUUUCUAGCGUUAGUAUGAUGUGCUGACGUCUCACGUUUUACACACCAGGAGGUCGGCUAGCUGUCACGUGCAAUGAUAUCCGCACCCACAUUCAGAGCGGACCUAAGGCUAACAAUGCUGUCAAGUCUUUAAGAAAAGAGUAGAAACUACGUUAGUCCAAUGGGCUAGCGAAGCCGGUAAUACCUUCAGCUAAUUGUCUCUCCGCUGGUGUUCGUUUGGAAGGGCUGGUAUUGAUCUCCGCUCAUAAGAAAAGUUCCCAGAACUCAAGCUUCCUUCCGUACGUGCACGUCUUUGCACUGGCCUUUGAUUACGCUGACACACAAAAAAGAACACUCGUUUGAGUUUAGAAUGCGGACGGACAGCAGUGCUAACACGAAGCCUGGAGAGAAUCGGAGACAACAGACAACUGCUGCUGGCCGUAUCACUGUUUCGCAGAAACAAAUUAAAGCGGCAAGCGCGCGUUCUCGGCAGUAAGUCGUCCCUGCUGCUCUCAGUAGGCAACUAAAGGCAACUAAUCAAUUUGUAAUCUUUCAGCAAGUCCACUGAAGACAGUGUGAUGGCUUGAGGACUGGACUCCUGCUGGCUCCACUGCUCAUAUUUGUGCACCGAAUUGUGGUGUCCAAAAAUAUUUCCUUACAUCAAAUUUUGGUUUUCCUAGUCUUCAGCAAUGAAUGAAAACAAAAUAUUUAUACUAAUAAAUUCAUACUUUACGGUACAAGACCUUUAUACUAACCACAUACUGCUGAACUAGUUUGCACUUCCUCCACGUUUAGUAAAGGGUUCUAUGACCUAAUGCUAUCUGGCCUAAGCAAACAAAAAGUAUGAAUUUGGCCACACUUUGUAUAUUUCUUCAGUAAUCCAACCUCCUCAAUUAGCUGAAGACCCCAACGGGAAAGUACAGUCCAUAUGCUGGAAGGUGAUCUGCAUAUUGGCAUCCGGAAUUUAAUAUGAGAAUUAGCCCAUCUCACAGGAACUCUGGGGCUAGUAAACAAACAAUAUUAUUACGUUCAUUUUCCCAACCUGAUUUUGUACCCUUGCGACGCAACAGAAGCAGCGCUGGCUUCCUGUUGGGCACUCUCUUCCUCACAUUGAUGAACGGCACUACAACCAAAUCGCUCUGCGCCUCUGAUCCACGGGCCUGAUACCGGGCUGCUCUGGCAUCCGCAGAAUUCCUGGCCCCUCCAUAUCCUCCUCGUGGAAGAUGACCUUGCUUUUGUCUGCGCCCGAAUCUUAUCAGAUGAUGUGGAUAAAACCUGCUGAAUUACAAUCCCCCGCUCCCUCUAGGGAGCCAUUUUAACAUCACCAAAAUGGCCUUUUUCCCCUCUUUUUUUAAUACAUGUUUGAGAGGCAGAGAGUCCUCUCAGCAGUCUCCCUCAGUCCCUUCUUUUGUGUAAUUUUAUACCAUCCCUCCUCGUGCGCUAUUGAAUACGAGAGCCUGGAAAUGAACUUGUGAACUGGAGCAAUUUUCAGACAGAGUUUUUUGAAUGGAUUUCUCUGUUUUUGCAAAGGGCGGGACGAGAGCUUCGAUAACCAUGAGGUAUUUACUUACAAAUACUGAGAGUUCGGUGAAGCCAGUGGAUUAUUUAAUGACGGGGGACAGAAGGUAACUGGUGCUGAACUGUUUGGUAGGCUGUGUUUGUGGUCCGUGCCAGAUAAAUAUAUGCUCAUAAAAAUUUGUCAACAUUCAGUAACUUCAGCUGAAGAAGGGCACGAGUUGAGUUGUUCAGGCUUUUAAGCAAACUACUGGAGCACAUGGGUGUGGUAUUUAAGUCAAUAUUAGCUACAUAACAAUAUGCCUGCCCAUAGGAUGCAUGUGAGCUGUACUGGCUUAGCUUGUGCUGUACAGAGCCUGUAGCAUAUGUAGCAUGUCUCUGUGAUCGCUGUGAAGGUGAUACUGGAUUCAGCCUUGGGUCAAAUCCCAUAAACUCCCUCCCGGGAACGUUAGCAGUUUGUGGCUUUCUUUUCCUUUUCAUGAUCUGACCGCCGCCAGACAGCGCCUCCUCAGGUUAUCGGGAGUGCGGCCUUUCGUUUUGCACGUACCACCAUCAGUGUAGAAACACAAAGGAACGGGUGGCCCAAAUCUGUAU